Bufo gargarizans (Asiatic toad) is the source of this 340-nucleotide long non-coding RNA. RefSeq lists it as uncharacterized. The record is from RefSeq and is a predicted model, not a curated record. Lineage: Eukaryota; Metazoa; Chordata; Amphibia; Anura; Bufonidae. The transcript has 3 exons.
CUUUAGCCCACUAGUCUCCCCCUUCCCUCAUACAUGUAGUGCACUUAUACAAAGAAUGUAUGGGCUCCUGAGAGGUUUAGGACAGCUGAUGAGGUCAUGUGAUUCUGAGCUAAGUGGUGGUGAUAAGUAGCCUUUAGGUUCCUACAAUAUAGGAUCCGCUCAGUGGAGAUCUUCUAUAAAAGAUCCUUCUCCUGACUGACCCGUCAAGGAUGGAUAGGGACAGAGAGAAGAUGGCGGAGAGUAUAAUAAAUCUCACCCUAGAGAUCCUCUUCCAGCUUACUGGAGAGGACUACACAGUAGUGAAGAAGACCUUUAGUGGGCGCUGUCAGGCCCCUGUGUC